RNAcentral lists this transfer RNA (72 nucleotides) under Volvariella volvacea V23. RNAcentral's name for it is "tRNA-Arg (CCT) (tRNA-Arg-CCT-2-1)". It matches the Rfam family "tRNA". Rfam says of the family: Transfer RNA (tRNA) molecules are approximately 80 nucleotides in length. Their secondary structure includes four short double-helical elements and three loops (D, anti-codon, and T loops). Lineage: Eukaryota; Fungi; Basidiomycota; Agaricomycetes; Agaricales; Pluteaceae. The record is from RNAcentral.
GCCGUCGUGGCUCAAUGGCAGAGCGUCGCUUUCCUAAGGCGAAGGUUGUGGGUUCGACCCCCACCGUCGGUA